CCUACGGGAGGCAGCAGUGAGGAAUAUUGGUCAAUGGGCGAGAGCCUGAACCAGCCAAGUCGCGUGAAGGAUGACGGCCCUACGGGUUGUAAACUUCUUUUGUCAGGGAGCAAUUGGGUCCACGCGUGGGCUUAGCGAGAGUACCUGAAGAAAAAGCAUCGGCUAACUCCGUGCCAGCAGCCGCGGUAAUACGGAGGAUGCGAGCGUUAUCCGGAUUUAUGGGGUUUAAAGGGUGCGUAGGCGGAAUAUCAAGUCAGCGGUAAAAAUUCGGGGCUCAACCCCGUCGUGCCGUUGAAACUGGUGUUCUUGAGUGGGCGAGAAGUAUGCGGAAUGCGUGGUGUAGCGGUGAAAUGCAUAGAUAUCACGCAGAACUCCGAUUGCGAAGGCAGCAUACCGGCGCCCAACUGACGCUGAAGCACGAAAGCGUGGGUAUCGAACAGGAUUAGAUACCCCGGUAGUC
This 460-nucleotide ribosomal RNA is filed under the name uncultured bacterium. RNAcentral's name for it is "partial 16S ribosomal RNA". It matches the Rfam family "Bacterial small subunit ribosomal RNA", at positions 338 to 795 of the family's 1533-position model. The record is from RNAcentral.